UCCGGUACUCGUUAAGGCUGAGCUGUGAUGGGGAGAAGACAUUGUGUCUUCGAGUCGUUGAUUUCACACUGCCGAGAAAAGCCUCUAGAUAGAAAAUAGGUGCCCGUACCGCAAACCGACACAGGUAGUCAAGAUGAGAAUUCUAAGGUGAGCGAGCGAACUCUCGUUAAGGAACUCGGCAAAAUGACCCCGUAACUUCGGGAGAAGGGGUGCUCUUUAGGGUUAACGCCCAGAAGAGCCGCAGUGAAUAGGCCCAAGCGACUGUUUAUCAAAAACACAGGUCUCUGCUAAACCGUAAGGUGAUGUAUAGGGGCUGACGCCUGCCCGGUGCUGGAAGGUUAAGAGGAGUGGUUAGCUUCUGCGAAGCUACGAAUCGAAGCCCCAGUAAACGGCGGCCGUAACUAUAACGGUCCUAAGGUAGCGAAAUUCCUUGUCGGGUAAGUUCCGACCCGCACGAAAGGCGUAACGAUUUGGGCACUGUCUCAACGAGAGACUCGGUGAAAUCAUAGUACCUGUGAAGAUGCAGGUUACCCGCGACAGGACGGAAAGACCCCGUGGAGCUUUACUGUAGCCUGAUAUUGAAAUUCGGCACAGCUUGUACAGGAUAGGUAGGAGCCUUUGAAACGUGAGCGCUAGCUUACGUGGAGGCGCUGGUGGG
RNAcentral lists this ribosomal RNA (658 nucleotides) under Staphylococcus aureus. RNAcentral's name for it is "partial 23S ribosomal RNA". It matches the Rfam family "Bacterial large subunit ribosomal RNA", at positions 1541 to 2196 of the family's 2925-position model. The record is from RNAcentral. Lineage: Bacteria; Bacillati; Bacillota; Bacilli; Caryophanales; Staphylococcaceae.